ACGGGGGGUGCAAGCGUUGUUCGGAAUUAUUGGGCGUAAAGCGCGUGUAGGCGGUUUGUUAAGUCUGAUGUGAAAGCCCUGGGCUCAACCCAGGAAGUGCAUUUGAUACUGGCAUGCUUGAAUAAGGGAGAGGGUAGUGGAAUUCCUGGUGUAGGAGUGAAAUCCGUAGAUAUCAGGAGGAACACCGGUGGCGAAGGCGGCUGCCUGGACCGAUAUUGACGCUGAGACGCGAAAGCGUGGGUAGCAAACAG
Molecule: ribosomal RNA, 251 nt
Filed under: uncultured prokaryote
Description: partial 16S rRNA
Rfam family: Bacterial small subunit ribosomal RNA
Source: RNAcentral